CUCUCCCUCUCCCUUUGUACCUCUCUCUCUCAGUCUCUCAGUCUCUCUUUCUCUCCGUCUCCACUCUCGAACCCUCCCCUCUCCCUUUUUGCUCGAUCUACCUCUCCCGCACAUCAAGGAGAAUUUUGCAACAUUAGGCCGGUUUUGCAAGGAUGCCCAAAAUGGCAUAUGCUGCUACUCCAAUGCCGUUGAAAAGAAAUGGCCUAUUUGGGGACAGAGCGUAUGACGUUUAGGGAUAGUGCAUAUAUAUUCUUUCCCCAGAAUGAUGUUUUUUCAUGGAUUCCUUGCCUGAUUCGAUGUAUUUGGUUGUAAAAUGAUGGAAGACGUGUUUCAGAAAAGAUUUGGCUGCAUCACAAGUUAGAAUACAGUGGUUGUAGGUGAUCAGCUCUCAGAAGUAAAUAAGGGAAAAAAGAAAGAAGAAGAACAAAAAUGGAUGGUGAUGGGGCACUUUAUUGCAUCAUUAGUGGAAGUUUGUCUUUGACAAAGGAGCGCUUUAAAACUUGAAUCCUACAAAUUCAUUUGUCUUUUCCAUUUUUCACCUAAUUUCUUUUGUUUAUAUGCAGUUUGACAAACCUGACCAAGCCAAGUGAUUGCUAUCUCUCAAUGUUUGUAGAUGAUUUUGCAGAAUGAGCUUCUUGAUGUCAUGGGGCAAAGAAGAUUCAGUAUGGGAGUGAUGGGGGAGUACCUGAAAUCAGAUCUCCAGGAAAUAUAUAUCGGUAAUGAAUGAAUGGAGAAUUUAAAGAUAUAUACUUGAAAUGGAUGGUUGCAUUGUCUUUUAUAUAAUUGUGUGCAUACCUUAUUAUUGUGGUAUG
Magnolia sinica is the source of this 812-nucleotide long non-coding RNA. RefSeq lists it as uncharacterized. The record is from RefSeq and is a predicted model, not a curated record. The transcript has 4 exons. NCBI's taxonomy places the organism in Eukaryota, Viridiplantae, Streptophyta, Magnoliopsida, Magnoliales, Magnoliaceae.